GAUGAACGCUGGCGGCGUGCCUAAUACAUGCAAGUCGAGCGAACAGAUGAGGAGCUUGCUCCUCUGACGUUAGCGGCGGACGGGUGAGUAACACGUGGAUAACCUACCUAUAAGACUGGGAUAACUUCGGGAAACCGGAGCUAAUACCAGAUAAUAUAUUGAACCGCAUGGUUCAAUAGUGAAAGACGGUUUUGCUGUCACUUAUAGAUGGAUCCGCGCCGCAUUAGCUAGUUGGUAAGGUAACGGCUUACCAAGGCGACGAUGCGUAGCCGACCUGAGAGGGUGAUCGGCCACACUGGAACUGAGACACGGUCCAGACUCCUACGGGAGGCAGCAGUAGGGAAUCUUCCGCAAUGGGCGAAAGCCUGACGGAGCAACGCCGCGUGAGUGAUGAAGGUCUUCGGAUCGUAAAACUCUGUUAUUAGGGAAGAACAAAUGUGUAAGUAACUAUGCACGUCUUGACGGUACCUAAUCAGAAAGCCACGGCUAACUACGUG
Molecule: ribosomal RNA, 497 nt
Filed under: uncultured bacterium
Lineage: Bacteria
Description: partial 16S ribosomal RNA
Rfam family: Bacterial small subunit ribosomal RNA
Source: RNAcentral